UUGGCUGAAGAUCAAGAGAUGUGGUGAGUUCUACAGCUCUUGAGUAAAGCCUCUAACAUCCCGCCAAUUGUUACUGCCCUCCCUUGCAAGCUUUUAUUGAGACCUUCAAGCUGCAGGAGAAUAUCCUGCCCAAGGAUAAGGCCAAGUACCGUGUUGCCUUUCUGGAGAUGGUCAAGAAGGCCACUUGCUCGAGGAGCUGUGACCCCUUUCGAGGAAGCCAACUCCUUCAAUGCAGUCAAGAUCACCUCGUAUUGGACUGGCCAAACAAACAUCCCAGGUCAUGGAUCCAUUGGAGGGCAUCUCGCACAACUGGUGUGGAUGAGCAGGCUGCUUGCGUGACCAGAUUCACACAGUUUGGCCACGAAGACCCGAGAUUGGAAGAUUGAGACGGAGCAGCACAUCAGAGGCAAUUUUCCAAAGAUGCUCGCCAGUUGUGGAAGAGGCCUCGUACAACCCUACAAACUCCUCCCUUGGUUCCAGAUCUUGGUCCACAUAGCGGAGGCAGUUGGAGAUCUGCUCUGUUCCACUGACGUUGUGUUCCGUCCAUUAUGAGGGAAUACUGCAGCACAGGUAAGGCAGAAAUCUCUGCGGCUAUCCCCCUAAUUAUAAUAUGAGCUAUUAUGCUCAGUAACUCAUUUUGUAUUUCCGGGCUUGUGUAGGGAUGCUCUCUCUUCAGCCAGCUUGCAAGGUCGGGGUCAUCCUCCGCCUUAUCUCAAAGAUAAUUUUGGAAGUUUCCAUCCAAAUUGGCAUGGCCUCUAAGAGCCAAGCCCUGUUUGGAGAGGUACCUUACCGCACCUACAAUUUGUAAAAGAGCCAACCUGGCUGCCUCUUGGGCCCUUGCUGAAGGGCGGCACAGUUUAAUUCUUACGGAAUCCUUUGUGUGCGCCUGUGUGUUGAGGGCAAUUAAAUGUGCCUUGCUGUUUUGGUGUCUGCUGAAUGAUUCCCUACUUUUUUUUCAAGUUUCGGAACCCUACAGAGAUUAAUGUUUUUUCAGCACUUUUGGCCAAUGUUGAUUUUUGGUUUGCAAAAGCAGUCAUACAGGGGAAACACAAAACCCCCUUAUCUUGCUGGCUGUAGUGCAGCCAAGGGAAUGCUUCAUACCAAAUAUCUUGGAACGUAAAGGCCUGAUUCCACCGGACGCGUUACGGCAACGUUACGGCUGCGGCACGUCUUGGCCGCGGUCACCGCAGCAGAUAGGUUCCACUCUAAUCAAUGAGACCAUUUCCACCGGGCGUGGCUGCGGAACGUCUCAGCAGCGUCCCAGGAGCGGCUCGCCGUGCCGCAGCGCUAUCAUUCCGUAGCAUUUCUAUUUUUGCCGCAAGCCGUUGCUGAACCGCGUCAAUUUCAACAGAGCAGAUCGAGCAGGGCAGUGAAAAAGUAAAAGCCAUAAAGCAUCCGGUCAAUUUUCAAAAUAAAACACAAUACUCAGCUCAUGUAGCCUAUCACAACGUCAUUUAUGUACCAAAUCAUCCUUUUUAUAAGGGCAAUGGCCGGAAGGACAAAGCGUGGCAUUUAAUUGCAGUAGUUUUGGGAGUGGAAGGUGAGUACAUUAGGUUUAGGAUUAUCGCGUGAUCUCGCAAUCUCGCGUGAAUAUGGCUGGCUCGCAAGGCAACGCUGCGCUGCCGUAACGCGCCCGGUGGAAAUGCAAGCAGGGCAGAGUCGCAGCCGUUCCGUGCCGCAGCCGUAACGUUGCCGUAACGCGUCCGGUGGAAUCCCCGGGUAAGAGUCCUAUUCAGCAGAGUUUGUGGCUCAAUUUCUCGUGCACUGGGCUGUACGGGCCAUCCAAUGGGUGUUCAAGGCAGAUCCCCUCAGUUUGAGUAGCUGGCUGCUCCUGAAAUGUAGUUAGUUCAUUGGAUGUGAGUAAGUGUAAAUAGUUCAGUGUGUAAAUAGUUGUUAAUAGUUGCAUUUUUGUGGAGUAGUCCAGUAGGAUUGAGGACUGCAUAUUUGGCAAACAGAAUGCAGAUUUCAAUGUUGACUUGUUUUAAGAUCAUUGUUGCUGCAUGUCUUUCUCAAGACAUUUGAGGGCCUCACCUCGUCAUGCUCAUCUGCCUGUUCCUGCAUCUCUUGGUUUAUCUCAG
Molecule: long non-coding RNA, 2078 nt
Organism: Gadus chalcogrammus (walleye pollock)
Lineage: Eukaryota; Metazoa; Chordata; Actinopteri; Gadiformes; Gadidae
Exons: 3
Source: RefSeq, a predicted model, not a curated record